GGUGGCUCAGUGGUAGAGUGCUUGCCUUGCAUGCAUGAGGCCUUGGGUUGGAUUCCCCAGCACCA
RNAcentral lists this transfer RNA (65 nucleotides) under Dipodomys ordii (Ord's kangaroo rat). It matches the Rfam family "tRNA". Rfam says of the family: Transfer RNA (tRNA) molecules are approximately 80 nucleotides in length. Their secondary structure includes four short double-helical elements and three loops (D, anti-codon, and T loops). The record is from Rfam by way of RNAcentral. Lineage: Eukaryota; Metazoa; Chordata; Mammalia; Rodentia; Heteromyidae.